GCGUCGGGUUGCCGUGGUUACUGCGCGGCGUUCUUUUCCCUGGUUUCCCUGGAGAAAUAGAUUCUCCUAACCUCUCACCGACACACGCGGUCGAUUCGAAGCCUUUGGAGAGGGAGCUUAGUGGUAGAACGCUUACCUAGCAAGUAUAAUUCCCUGGGAUCGACCCAGCACCGAGCCAGCGGCGGUAUCCGGGAAUAAUUUAACUCAAACUAAGAGUGGCCCGGAGGGAGAGAAGCUCUGGCCUAAACAGAUGUCAGUAGUAGUCCUGCCUGGGUGCUGUUAUUGUCCCUCCUGCUCCAAGUCUGGGUUUGGAGGAUGAGCAUGCCCCGCAGAAUGGGAUGCGUGAACCGGCUGAUUGUAGGUGGCUGCAGAGGCCAGGAGGCAUCAGAUUCCCUCCAGAACUGGAGUUACCGGCGGUUUGUGAGCCACUUGAUGUGGGUGCUGAGAAUUGAACCUGGGUCUCCCCAGCUUCUGCUCUCCCCUCCUCCUGUAAUUUUUUGAGAGUGGAUCUGAUGAAGCUCAGAACUGGUCUUGAACUCCCAAUCUCCAGCCUCCACCUUCCAAGUGCUGAGUGAGAAUGACGUGGAAUCAGUCUCUUGCAGUAUUGUACUGGGAAAAAAAAAAAAAAAAAAAAAAAAAAAAAAAAAAACAAAACCUUCUCUUGCAGUGCUGGGAACAAGUCUAGGGUCCCUCAGUUAGGGAACUUCAUCCCCAGUCCCUAUGAGACCUUUGUUCAUUGGACCUGGCCCUAAGGGCCAUAUCUCUGGUUUAGUGAAGAAAUGAAUGCCUCACAGAGGCACACCUGGCACAUGGCCCCCAGAGUUCCCACGGCCACACCCACGAUCUUUCCAUUCCUUGCAUUGGAACUCCAUUCAGCUACCACUGAGAUUCCCAGCAGAAAGAAGGGAGGAAGCCUGCAAUCCCAGAACUGGGGAGGCUGAGGCAAGAUUACAACGAGUUCAAGACCAGCCCAGGAUACACAACGCUCUACGGAGGAAGUGCAGAGGCAGAGGGCGACCCAAACUGAAGUUUAGAACUCUAAGAAUCUUCAUUUCCAUCUGUCUGAUCUGGUGCUUAGUGUAAGUAUUGUUAGUCACAAACGCGAAGUCACCUAUUUCUGGAGGGUACAUUUCUUCAUAUUUGCUGGCAAUAAACAUGGCAGUCACACCAACCAGCUGCAGCAUCUUCUUGGGCACACAAUUAUCCUGCAAUUGGAAUUUCAGUCAACAACAUGUACUUCAGCAUCUCCCUGGAAAGAUGUUAGUUUCAGGCUCAGUGGCUAAGGUGCCUGCUGACCAUGUGUGGGACCCUGGAUUCAGCUGGAAGUGUCCCUUCCCCUCCUCCAAGGUUCUCACAGAACUCACCAAUAGAGAACUCUCAAUUACUGGAUUACACAUACCUGCAUGAACCGGUCAAUAAUGGAGACAGUCAUGUACAUGGUCUCCUGCAGCAGCCUAAAUUUCAUCUGAACCUGUAUCAGCCAGUCAAUUAGGAUGGCUCUCAUGUUUCCAGUGAUUUCACGGCCCAUUAGGUAUUUUGGUCUGACUGACUGUUCUUCCUGCAAAAGAAAAUGUCAGUUAUCCAUUUGUGACUAUAAAGACCAGUUUAACUAACAGUUAACAGCUCGGGGGCAAAACUUCACUAAGAGAGCAAGGAUCAGAAUAGCAUGACAGGCCUUUCGUACUGUUGGGAUAUUGUGACAUGCCAUUAACCAGUGGUACCGCAGGCCCACAGCCUGCACCUAUCACCACCUCGGAUCAAUAUAGACCUUAUUAAUCUCCACUCAAGAUUAAUAAUAUAGAACCUGAGCUUUGUGAUAUAGAAAAAAUAGUUUUAGAUCAUCUAGAAUCUUGCUCAAAGUUAUAAACUCAAAACACCAACAUGGUUUGAAGAAAAGAAUAAGGACAACUAUGUUCAACUACCAAACUGAGUUCUGCAAUAGAAAAAAACCCAAAACCUGAAGUAUUAACAAGAAUUAAACAGCAGACAGCCUGCCUGGACAGAUAUCCUACUGAAGACUUCUUUAGAAAACAGAUGUCAAAAGGAAGGGGAGCCAGCAAGAUGGCUGACUUUCUCUUCAAUCCCCAGAACCCAUGUAAAGGUGGAAGGAGAACCAAUCUUGAAAGUUGUCCUCUGACCACCCCCUCCCAGGCACACCCACACCACCCAGUCACAGAGGACAAAGUUAACCCGAGAAGACAACGCUGAGGACAUAGUUCAGUGGGAAAGUACCCGCUUAGCAUGCACAAGGUAUUUGUUCCCGGGACACUGGGUGGCAAUCCAAUAAAACUACAUUAAAGAACUGUCUUGUUUAAAGAAUUGAAAGGGAAAUAAAGUUUCCCAAGUGGGCCACGUUGACAAAACCAACAACUUCCAUUUUUCUGAGUGUGCUCCUUUUGGGCAAACAGUAGUCUCCCUGAUGGGCACAAGCACACUGACAAAAACGCCUAGUGCUGGGACAGCUGUAAUGCUUUAGCAUUCUCAUCUACCUCCUCCUCCAACCCCCGAGUCUUUUCCCAUCUGUGAUGUGUGUGUCUACUCUAUAAGAGUCAUGGUAGCAUCUCCCCAACACAGAAAUUUUGUAUUCAAUGUGGCAGGUCCACUUCAUGGAGUUAGUGACUAUUUCUACUGUUUCAAAACAGAACUUCAAGUGUUAUCUUUUGUCAAGAAAUGUCAUGUGUGCUGUUGAUAAAAAUAUCUGAGUUUAAUUGCUAAGUUGGUGGUGCACAACUUUUUGAACCUAGCCUGGUCUACAGAGCCAGUUCCAGGACAGCCAGGGGCACACAGGAAAACCGGGUCUCAAAAACAAGAAAACGGUUUUUAAUAAACCUAGCUGCAUUUAGUACAAGCAGACUACCAGUAAUACUGACCUCCAGUUGUCUGAGGUAGGCAUAUAUGUCUUUCACAUAUUCACUGCAGAGGUUUGGAUCAGCUCCAUCAUCUGCAUCCACAUCACUCACGGCAAGAAUUACAUCAGAGAAAGCCUGACACAGAUAUUCUUCUGCAGGGGCACAUCCAGAUGUUUCCAUUGGGCUUGGAGAGGCGUUAUCAACCUUAAAAAAGAGAGACCCCAUGAAACAAAGAGAAGCCCAUGCUACAGUCUAGGAAGGAAAGUCAGUAUCGGUAUCCUCACAGUCCAAGAAACUAUUCUGAAUAAAUGUAAUUCAUUUUAUUAAUGAAAAA
Long non-coding RNA from Peromyscus maniculatus bairdii (prairie deer mouse), 3183 nucleotides. RefSeq lists it as uncharacterized. The record is from RefSeq and is a predicted model, not a curated record. Lineage: Eukaryota; Metazoa; Chordata; Mammalia; Rodentia; Cricetidae.